GUCCACGCCCUAAACGAUGUCAAUUAGCUGUUGGGGGUUAGAAUCCUUGGUAGCGUAGCUAACGCGUGAAAUUGACCGCCUGGGGAGUACGGCCGCAAGGUUAAAACUCAAAGGAAUUGACGGGGGCCCGCACAAGCGGUGGAUGAUGUGGAUUAAUUCGAUGCAACGCGAAAAACCUUACCUGCUCUUGACAUGUACGGAACCCUGGAGAGAUUCAGGGGUGCCCGAAAGGGAGCCGUAACACAGGUGCUGCAUGGCUGUCGU
This 264-nucleotide ribosomal RNA is filed under the name uncultured bacterium. Its description in RNAcentral is "partial 16S ribosomal RNA". It matches the Rfam family "Bacterial small subunit ribosomal RNA", at positions 793 to 1055 of the family's 1533-position model. The record is from RNAcentral.